Molecule: long non-coding RNA, 492 nt
Organism: Micropterus salmoides (largemouth bass)
Lineage: Eukaryota; Metazoa; Chordata; Actinopteri; Centrarchiformes; Centrarchidae
Exons: 2
Source: RefSeq, a predicted model, not a curated record
GCUGGGCGGUGCCAGUACAGACGGUCUCCAGGAGAUUAACAGGGAAUAUGAUAUACUCGACUAGAAAAUCUAUUUCUACGGAAUAUCUUAAACAAUCAUUUCAUCCAGCAUGCUUCUCUUUGGCACUAGUGUGACAAAGGAAAAAUAAAACCUGUAUAAAUCUCAAUUAGAUGUGCUGUGUGUUGCCAUCUUGGACCAUGGACUGUAUUAAAAAAACAAGUCUCGGACACAAAAAUGGCAAGUGACGUUGUUGGUGAAUACCACUCAGCGGAAGAUGACACAUGCUUUCAUGGAAAUCAUGCAAAGCUACCAUCCAGGAGUCACAGAACUACAUUAUUGUACUGGAAAUGCAGUAUAACAGUGUGAUGUUUAAACACACUAAUGCAACAAAUGUGUAUUUUUAUACGAUGUACAUCUGUAUCUGACCAAUCAGAGUCUUAUUUAGAGUCACAGUUCUGUCUCAAAUAAAUUGCCUGGCCUGAGGUGCAAGCA